CUACCAUGUGCAAGAAAUCAGUGUGGUAAUUAAUGAAUCAAUAUUUUUUUUAUUUAAUGAAUCUAUUUUUUCAGACACGUCAAAAGCAAAACUAUGAACAUGAAAAAGUCUAUGUACUUCCUUUAAAAUGUAAUUACUUUUAGAAUGUGAUUUUAUUGGCUCAACGCCUGCUAAUACAUCCAUCAAGGAAGCAACAGAGUAGUCACGAACGGCACACUCCGAUAUCAUGUAAUAGAGAUGUUAUAAUACUAUGAUAAAAUACAACUAGUUCAUUGUUACAGAAUUUUUGUAAAGAAGCAGUCCCUACCAAUAUAUUUCAUUUAAUCGUUGAAGAACACCAGAUUUAUGACAAGGGGGCCCAUAGCAGUAUUCUAAAAUGAAUCGUCUCCCGUUGUUGCUACCGAUUCUUGUCCUACUGAUGGAGAUACGUUCACCCGUAGUCCAUGGUGUAUCAGUUGACAUCACCACUGAGGCUUCAACAAUUUUGAGUACAGAUAUACAGUAUAGCACCAAUGG
Strongylocentrotus purpuratus (purple sea urchin) is the source of this 516-nucleotide long non-coding RNA. RefSeq lists it as uncharacterized. The record is from RefSeq and is a predicted model, not a curated record. NCBI's taxonomy places the organism in Eukaryota, Metazoa, Echinodermata, Echinoidea, Camarodonta, Strongylocentrotidae. The transcript has 3 exons.